This is an RNA transcript of Perognathus longimembris pacificus (Pacific pocket mouse), 1575 nucleotides long. It is a transcript of the gene named shiftless antiviral inhibitor of ribosomal frameshifting, with no coding region annotated. The transcript has 9 exons. NCBI's taxonomy places the organism in Eukaryota, Metazoa, Chordata, Mammalia, Rodentia, Heteromyidae. The record is from RefSeq and is a predicted model, not a curated record.
GCCCCAGCAGCGCGGCGCGGCGCGGCGCGGCGCGGGGCUCCGAGGGCGCGGCCGGACCCCGGGCCCGGCCACCAUGGCUCAGGACGGGGUCGAGUUGGAGAAGAGCGUCAGGCGCCUGCGGGAGAAGUUCCAUGGCAAGGUGUCCCCCCAAAAGGCGGGGGCUUUGAUGAAAAAAUUUGGAAGUGAUCAUACGGGUGUGGGACGAUCCAUCGUCUACGGUGUGAAGCAGAAAGAUGGACAGGAACUGAGUAAGGACCUGGAUGCCCAGGACCCACCGGAGGACAUGAAACAAGACCGGGACAUCCAGGCAGUGGCCACGUCCCUCUUGCCACUGACGGAAGCCAAUCUGCGCAUGUUCCAGCGUGCCCAGGAUGACCUCAUCCCUGCUGUGGACCGGCAGUUUGCUUGCUCCUCUUGUGAUGACGUGUGGUGGCGCCGUGUACCCCAGCGGAAAGAGGUCUCCAGAUGCAGGAAAUGUCGCAAGCGCUACGACCCGGUGCCACAGGACAAGAUGUGGGGCCUGGCUGAGUUCCACUGUCCCAAGUGUCGACACAACUUCCGGGGCUGGGCACAAAUGGGGUCCCCAUCCCCCUGCUACGGGUGUGGCUUCCCCGUGUAUCCAACGCGGAUCCUACCCCCGCGCUGGGACCGGAACAUGGACCGUCGGAGUUCGCACACUCACUCCUGCUCGGCGGCGGACUGCUACAACCGGAGAGAGCCCCAUGUGCCUGGGACGUCCUGUGCACACCCCAAGAGCCGCAAACAGAACCAUCUGCCCAAAGUCCUUCACCCCAGCACGCCGCACAUCAGCAGCGGCUCCACGGUGGCCACCUGCCUGAGCCAGGGCGGGCUCGUGGACGACCUGGACAACCUCAUCUUGGAAGAUCUGAAGGAGGAGGAGGAGGAAGAGGAGGAGGAGGGCGUCGGCCCCCGGGAGUGACAGCCUCCCAGCCCCCAGGGCCAGAGGCACACACGAACCAGACGCGCUUGUUCUGAAAUGUGGCCAGCUUGAUCAGGAUUUAGGUCCCCCCCCACCCCCAGCAGAUGAUCACAGCCUCACUGGCCGGAUAAGCAUAGCAGCCUUCUUGAGAGAGUACGCCCCGCCUCGGAACUCGGCCCAGUACACCCCGUCCUGGUAGCGGCUCCGGUAGUGACCACCCUGGUACCACACGCCGUUGAGGUUGGAGUGAGCACAUGCGUGGUACCACCAGCCACCACGCUGGUAAAGGGCACAGUUACCUGUAGGCAGAGAGAGGCUGUGUUCCCCCACUGAAUUGGCUCUACUAGCACUUUCGUUGGGCAAGGCUUUAGCCAGACCUCCCCACUCCACCCCCCCAGUUUGCAAACUUAUUCAGCCCUUUUCUCUCUCUCUCCCCCCCCCGCCAAAAUAAAAGCCCUGAUAGCCCACUUUCUCCUUCAGAGUAACAGCCUUCAUUUCCCCCAUCUUCUCACUUAAGUCAAGCUCUCUUCCCACCUUUUCUACUGAGUAGAGGAGUCUUUUAACUGUUCAUUACGAUAAUUAAAAUUUUCACCACUUCCUAGAGAGCUAGCUUUGAGUGAAAACAGCUCAGGAAC